UUCCCCCUCGUGGAAGUGGGUCAGUCCCCCCAGUCCCCUGUCCCCCGCAGGAUGUGCGGGAUUUCUUCCAAGCUGUUACCGGCUCACCUUUGAUCUUGCCUUUUCGCCACCGCCUGCGACUGCGGUUCUUCGAUCCUUCUUUGGCCUGCUUGGAGGCCUGGGCCCCCACGGGCGCCGAUUCCACGGCCGGCUCCAUCAAUUCUUUCUAGUCCUGGCGCGGGGCCCAAUUCCAGCGAUCAAGUCCCUCUCUUAGAGUCAAUCCUAGUUACACACCACUGCCCGGCCCCUAGACCAUCCAAUCCUGGGCAGGCUCCUCGCGGAGCUCCGCCUUUAAUGGGUGGGGCUGAAGGUCUUGGCCCGCCCAUCCGCUCAGAUUAAAGGAACCGCGCAGUGCACCGCAACGACAGACAAAAAAAAAAAACAAACAAAAAAAAAACAAAAAAAAAAAACAAAAAAAUCCGCAGUCCUGGAGGCGGCGAGAAGUGCCCUCACAGCAGGAAUAGUGAGGAGUCGCGUUAGAGUCACCCCAACAAAGAAUUCUCAGUCAUCUCGUGCAGAAUCAAAGGGAUGCAGGGCAGGGAAAGGGGAAGACAGCAACACCGCCGGCCUCAGGGUUGAUCUCCAGAAAGGAGCGACUGGGUUCUAUGGCUGUUACCUGCCAUUGCUUCGGAGAGGCGGCAAGGAAGAAGCGCCACAGCUCACCAGCACUUCACUGCGCUGUUUCCAUUCCGCCUGGAUCUUGCCACAGACCUCUGCAGCCCCCGCUCCCAAGCUUCUCUACCCCCUGAAACCUAGUCUGAGACCCUGCAGAGGCACCGGGCGGCAGGGGCGAGACCGUCUCGAAGCAGAGGCAGUGAAUGGCCUGGAUGUUCGGCUAGGCUACACACACUUGCCAAAUAAGGCAGAUGUGUAAUCAAGGAAUGACAUAUACUUCAUAAACCUAGAGGUACAAGUGCAGUCAACGUUCUAAGGUUGUGGAGGUUCACUGGGGACUGAAAUGGUGAUUAGCAUGUGCAAAGUCAGUAUCGUGAGGAGUAUCCUGCCCAAGCAGGCUGAUCCAUCUUUGCACUGGAAUGCCUACUAGCAGCAACUUGUCUGGUGUCUGGGUAUCCUUUGGGUCCUGUGUACUCGGUUUGUACUAUCUCAAAACUCAGACUUUGGCUGCUAAAAAUAUCUUCCCAGGUUUAGCCAUUCGAGAGUGUCAGCUCCUGUUGGUCACUACCUCACGUUGGAGGCAGAUGGCUCUGAGAGCUCUUAAGUCUUUUCUCAAAAGCAGUGAAAACUGCAAAACAAUGCACCAACCCGAAACAUUUGCAUUAUUGCUCCCUUGAACUAUACAAGAAAUGCUUUGACUCUCAUUGUGUGACGAUAGAGCCCAUCUUGGAGUCUCUUCUGGGUCCCCCAAUUCCAUGAUCCCAUUAGGAACACAGGAAGAUGAAGUAAAACAGAGAAAACUGUGUAGGAUUGGGAUGUGUGCCCGACAGCCUGAGGCACAGGAAGUCCCGGGGUACCGUGAUCCUCCGAGGGCUCAGUGACACUGGAAAUACUAGGGAUGUCACCAUUUUGAUGAUGUUGCUAGCCAGGUUAAUGGCCAGGUCACAUGGUCACCCUUAUCUUAAUGAGGGCAUCAGUCAAGAUGGCAACAAAGC
Molecule: long non-coding RNA, 1649 nt
Filed under: Mus caroli (Ryukyu mouse)
Lineage: Eukaryota; Metazoa; Chordata; Mammalia; Rodentia; Muridae
Description: lncRNA (MGP_CAROLIEiJ_G0003992.1)
Source: RNAcentral